This 428-nucleotide ribosomal RNA is filed under the name uncultured bacterium. RNAcentral describes it as "partial 16S ribosomal RNA". It matches the Rfam family "Bacterial small subunit ribosomal RNA", at positions 354 to 796 of the family's 1533-position model. The record is from RNAcentral.
GUGGGGAAUAUUGGGCAAUGGGCGCAAGCCUGACCCAGCAACGCCGCGUGAGGGAAGAAGGCUUUCGGGUUGUAAACCUCUGUCCUUGGUGACGAAACAAAUGACGGUAGCCAAGGAGGAAGCCCCGGCUAACUACGUGCCAGCAGCCGCGGUAAUACGUAGGGGGCGAGCGUUGUCCGGAAUUACUGGGCGUAAAGGGUGCGUAGGUGGCCUUUUAAGUUGGAUGUGAAAUACCCGGGCUUAACUUGGGGGGUGCAUCCAAAACUGGGCGGCUAGAGUGCAGGAGAGGAAAGCGGAAUUCCUAGUGUAGCGGUGAAGUGCGUAGAUAUUAGGAGGAACACCAGUGGCGAAGGCGGCUUUCUGGACUGUAACUGACACUGAGGCACGAAAGCGUGGGGAGCAAACAGGAUUAGAAACCCGUGUAGUCC